CCUACGGGUGGCAGCAGUGAGGAAUAUUGGUCAAUGGACGAGAGUCUGAACCAGCCAAGUAGCGUGAAGGAUGACUGCCCUAUGGGUUGUAAACUUCUUUUAUAUGGGAAUAAAACGCUCCACGUGUGGGAUUUUGUAUGUACCAUAUGAAUAAGGAUCGGCUAACUCCGUGCCAGCAGCCGCGGUAAUACGGAGGAUCCGAGCGUUAUCCGGAUUUAUUGGGUUUAAAGGGAGCGUAGGUGGUUUGUUAAGUCAGUUGUGAAAGUUUGCGGCUCAACCGUAAAAUUGCAGUUGAAACUGGCAGUCUUGAGUACAGUAGAGGUGGGCGGAAUUCGUGGUGUAGCGGUGAAAUGCUUAGAUAUCACGAAGAACUCCGAUUGCGAAGGCAGUUCACUGGACUGCAACUGACACUGAGGCUCGAAAGUGUGGGUAUCAAACAGGAUUAGAUACCCCUGUAGUC
Molecule: ribosomal RNA, 460 nt
Filed under: uncultured bacterium
Lineage: Bacteria
Description: partial 16S ribosomal RNA
Rfam family: Bacterial small subunit ribosomal RNA
Source: RNAcentral